RNAcentral lists this ribosomal RNA (465 nucleotides) under uncultured bacterium. RNAcentral's name for it is "partial 16S ribosomal RNA". It matches the Rfam family "Bacterial small subunit ribosomal RNA", at positions 338 to 795 of the family's 1533-position model. The record is from RNAcentral.
CCUACGGGUGGCAGCAGUAGGGAAUCUUCCACAAUGGGCGAAAGCCUGAUGCAGCAACGCCGCGUGGGUGAAGAAGGUCUUCGGAUCGUAAAACCCUGUUGUUAGAGAAGAAAGUGCGUGAGAGUAACUGUUCACGUUUCGACGGUAUCUAACCAGAAAGCCACGGCUAACUACGUGCCAGCAGCCGCGGUAAUACGUAGGUGGCAAGCGUGAUCCGGAUUUAUUGGGCGUAAAGGGAACGCAGGCGGUCUUUUAAGUCUGAUGUGAAAGCCGUCGGCUUAACCGGAGUAGUGCAUUGGAAACUGGGAGACUUGAGUGCAGAAGAGGUGAGCGGAACUCCAUGUGUAGCGGUGAAAUGCGUAGAUAUAUGGAAGAACACCAGUGGCGAAGGCGGCUCUCUGGUCUGUAACUGACGCUGAGGUUCGAAAGCGUGGGUAGCAAACAGGAUUAGAUACCCGGGUAGUC